GUCAAAAAAACGAAGGCUCACGACGGAGACCUAGGCUCUCAGAGACGAUGAAAGGCGCGAUACCAGCGAUAUGCUUUGGGGAGUAGGAAGAAUGCAUUGAUCCAAAGAUUCCUGAAUAGGGCAACCUGUCCGACUAUCUAUGAAUUCAUAAAUAGAUUAGAGGCAACCUGGUGAACUGAAACAUCUCAGUAGCCAGAGGAAAAGAAAGCAAAAGCGAUUCCCGUAGUAGCGGCGAGCGAACUGGGACCAGCCUAAACCAAUUUAAUUGGGGUUGUGGGAAGACAAACUUGCACUCUUUCUUCUUUGCUUCUUCGCGAAGCGAAGAAGGAGCGAGUGCAACUUGCGCAAGCAAAAGAAGAAAGUAAGAAAAAAGACGAAGCAGCUGAAUCCUGCACCAUAGAUGGUGAAAGUCCAGUAGUCAUAUUCAAUUCUUUAAGUUUUUAACUAGCAAAAGAAGUUUUUAACUAGCAAAAGCUAUGCCUCCGAAGGAAGCGUAGCGAAGCAAGUUAAAAUAAAUCAAACUUGUAAAUAAAAUUUACAAGCAAAAGCAAAAGCAAGCAAAUAAAAUGUCUAUCCCGAGUAGCAUGGGGCACGUGGAAUCCCGUGUGAAUCUGCGAGGACCACCUCGUAAGGCUAAACACUCCUGAGAGACCGAUAGCGAAAUAGUACAGCGAUGGAAAGGUGAAAAGAACCCCCGUAGGGGAGUGAAAUAGAACAUGAAAUCGUGAGCUGACAAGCAGUGGGAGGAUUUUUUGAAUCUGACCGCGUGCCUGUUGAAGAAUGAGCCGGCGACUUAUAGGAAGUGGCAGGUUAAAGAGUAAGAUCUGGAGCCUAAGCGAAAGCGAGUCUGAAUAGGGCGCAAGUCACUUCUUAUGGACCCGAACCUGGAUGAUCUAACCAUGAGCAAGCUGAAGCUUAGGUAACACUUAGUGGAGGGCUGUACGGACCGGUGUUGAAAAAUCGGCCGAUGACUUGUGGUUAGCGGAGAAAUUCCAAUCGAAUUCAGAGCUAGCUGGUUCUCCCCGAAAUGCGUUGAGGCGCAGCGGCAAUGAUGGGCAAUCUAAGGGUAGAGCGACUGUUUCGGUGCGGGCUGCGAAAGCGGUACCAAGUCGUGGCAAACUCCGAAUAUUAGAUUUGCUUUCCAUGUGCCAGUGAGACAGUGGGGGAUAAGCUUCAUUGUCAAGAGGGAAACAGCCCAGAUCAUCAGCUAAGGCCCCUAAAUGGCUCCUAAGUGGAAAAGGAUGUGAGAAUGCUGAAACAACCAGGAAAUUUGCUUAGAAGCAGCCAUUUUUUAAAGAGUGCGUAAUAGCUCACUGGUAAAGCGUUUUUGCGCCGACAAUGGCCGGGACUAAGGAGCCUGCCGAAGCUAUGAGAUUUUUUGUUUCUUUUAUUUAAAGAAUUUAAAUAAAACUUGUAAAUAAAAUUUAUAAGCAAAAGAAAAAAUAAAAAUCGGUAGGGGAGCGUUCAGCAUUGGGUGAAGCUUUGGCGUAAGUUUGAGUGGACGAUGCUGAAGUGAGAAUGUCGGCUUGAGUAACGAAAACAUUGGUGAGAAUCCAAUGCCCCGAAAACCUAAGGGUUCCUUUACAAGGUUCGUCCAUGAAGGGUGAGUCAGGACCUAAGGCGAGGCCGAUAGGCGUAGUCGAUGGCAAACAGGUUGAUAUUCCUGUACUUUUUUGAAGGGGAACCGAGGGACGAAGUCGGCUAAAUUGAGUCUGUGAAUGGAAUGCAGUGGAAGUGUCCGAGGUUAAACAGAUCGAAAAAAAACGAAUCUGUAGCUAAGGCAUGAUCCCACUCUCCUGAACUUGUUCGGGUAGAGUGUCAAUGAUGUCAUACUUCCAAGAAAAGCUCGUACACCAUCUUUUUAAGAAUAAACCUUCAAAAAACCUGUACCUGAAACCGACACAGGUAGGUUGGUAGAGAAUACUAAGGGGCGCAAGAGAACUCUCUCUAAGGAACUCGGCAAAUUGGCCCCGUAACUUCGGGAGAAGGGGCGCCCUUGAUUAAAUCAAGGGCCACAGUAACAAGAUUCAGGCAACUGUUUACCAAAAACACAGGUCUCCGCAAAGUCGUAAGACAAUAUAUGGGGGCUGACGCCUGCCCAGUGCCGGAAGGUGAAGGAAGUUGGUUAUUUGGGCCUUGUGCUCGGAGAAGCUGACGACCGAAGCCCCGGUGAACGGCAGCUGUAACUAUGACAGUUCUAAGGUAGCGAAAUUCAUUGUCGAGUAAGUUUCGACCUGCACGAAAGGCGUAAUGAUCUGAAUACUGUCUCAGAGAGAGACUUGGUGAAAUAGACUUAUCCGUGAAGAUGCGGAUUAACAACAUUUGGACAGAAAGACCCUAUGAAGCUUGACUGUAUCCUGGAAUUGGGUUCGGGCUUUUCUUGCGCAGUCUAGGUGGGAGGCAUUGAAGAUUUCUUUCCGGAGAGAUUGGAGCCAUCAGUGAGAGACCACUCUGGAAAGGCUAGAAUCCUAAGAGUGAUCCCUAAUCGGGACAUUUGACGUUUUCAGGAAGGCAGUUUUUUUGGGGCGAAAGUCCUCCUAAAAGGUAACGGAGGCGCGCAAAGGUUUCCUCAGUCUGGACGGAAAUCAGACGUUACAGAGUGUAAAGGCAAAAGGAAGCUUGACUGCAAGACCUACAAGUCGAGCAGGGGCGAAAGCCGGCCUUAGUGAUCCGACGGUGUCCGUGUGGAAGGGCCGUCGCUCAACGGAUAAAAGUUACUCUAGGGAUAACAGGCUGAUCUUCUCCAAGAGUUCACAUCGACGAGAAGGUUUGGCACCUCGAUGUCGGCUCAUCACAUCCUGGGGCUGUAGUAGGUCCCAAGGGUUGGGCUGUUCGCCCAUUAAAGUGGUACGUGAGCUGGGUUCAAAACGUCGUAAGACAGUUUGGUCCAUAUCCGAUGUUGUCGUUAGAGCGCUGAGAGGAUCCUUAAAUAGUACGAGAGGAUUUUUAAGGUCGUGCCUAUGGUGUAUCAGUUCUCUCUCCAGAGGGAAACGCUGAGUAGCUACGCACGGUUUAGAUAACCGCUGAAAGCAUCUAAGUGGGAAGCUUUCCUCAAGAUGAGCGCUCUCCAUUAUGCCACAGCUAGACAAGCUGAUGAUAGGUAUCAGGUGAAAGGUCUGCAAGGAUUUGAGCCAAGAUAUACUAAAGGCCAAUUGAUUUUGACCA
RNAcentral lists this ribosomal RNA (3165 nucleotides) under Pseudopediastrum boryanum. RNAcentral describes it as "LSU rRNA". It matches the Rfam family "Bacterial large subunit ribosomal RNA". The record is from RNAcentral. Lineage: Eukaryota; Viridiplantae; Chlorophyta; Chlorophyceae; Sphaeropleales; Hydrodictyaceae.